This 3542-nucleotide ribosomal RNA is filed under the name Halisarca caerulea. Its description in RNAcentral is "bacterial LSU rRNA". It matches the Rfam family "Bacterial large subunit ribosomal RNA". The record is from RNAcentral. Lineage: Eukaryota; Metazoa; Porifera; Demospongiae; Chondrillida; Halisarcidae.
AAUGCGUAUGGUGGAUGCCUUGGCGAUUGCAGGCGAUGAAGGACGUAGCAAUCUGCGAUAAGCUUCGGGGAGUGGAUAAGCACACUUUGAUCCGGAGAUGUCCGAAUGGGGAAACCCACCCGCUUGCGGGUAUCGCAUCCUGAAUACAUAGGGAUGCGAAGCGAACCCGGCGAACUGAAACAUCUAAGUAGCCGGAGGAAAAGAAAUCAACCGAGAUUCCCAGAGUAGUGGCGAGCGAAAUGGGAACAGUCCGUGUCCGCAUCAACCAAAACAAUCUAGCAAAACCGUCUGGAAAGUCGGACCAUAGGGGGUGACAGUCCCGUAUGCGAAAGAUUGGUUUGGGGGCGGACGAAGAGUAGGGCGGGACACGUGUUAUCCCGUCCGAACAUGGGGGGCCCAUCCUCCAAGACUAAAUACUGGCAAUCGACCGAUAGCGAACAAGUACCGUGAGGGAAAGGUGAAAAGUACCCCAAUGCGGGGAGUGAAAGAGAACCUGAAACCGUACGCCUACAAGCAGCGAGAGCUCUGAUGGAGUGAUCGCGUACCUUUUGUAUAAUGGGUCAGCGAGUUGAUUUUGCGAGCAAGCUUAAGCCACUAGGUGUAAGCGCAGCGAAAGCGAGUCUGAAGAGGGCGUCUAGUUCGUAGUAUCAAACCCGAAACCAGGUGAUCUAGCUAUGGCCAGGCUGAAAGCGGAGUAAUAUCCGCCGGAGGGCCGAACCCACUAACGUUGAAAUGUUAGGGGAUGAGCUGUGGCUAGGGGUGAAAGGCCAAUCAAACCUGGAGAUAGCUGGUUCUCUCCGAAAACUAUUGAGGUAGUGCCUCGUGUUUAUCACUGCCGGGGGUAGAGCACUGUUAUGGCUAGGGGGUCACGCCGACUUACCAAACCAUGGCAAACUCCGAAUACCGGUAAGCGCAAUCACGGGAGACAGACAGCGGGUGCGAACGUCCGUUGUCAAGAGGGAAACAACCCAGACCGCCGUCUAAGGCCCCCAAGCCGUUGCUAAGUGGGAAACGAAGUGGGGGGGCACACACAGCCAGGAUGUUGGCUUAGAAGCAGCCAUCAUUUAAAGAAAGCGUAAUAGCUCACUGGUCUAGUCCCCCUGCGCGGAAAAUGUAACGGGGCUUAAGCAACGCGCCGAAGACGCGGGUGUCAGAAGGUUGAGUAAAGGGAAUUCGGCUUAAAGCCGAAUCGUGGAACGGGCGUUUACCCUAGCCCGUUCCUUUGCGGUAUGGUAAAAUUCGGGCAUGACGACAAACGCCAUUGCCAUCGCGCGCAAUCUAGCCGCCGCGGGAGUGGAACAAAAAGCCGCGGAUGCGAUUGCAGAGGCGGUCGUCACGCAUUCCGACGAAAGCUUUGCCACGAAAACAGAUGUCGCCAAUGUGAGAAACGAUAUUGUUAGGUUGGAAGGCAAAAUAGAGGCAUUGGCGAUACAGAUUAAAAUAUCCAUAGGAUUGUCGGUCGGGCUUUAUGUCGCUCUCUUCGCCUUUCUUUUGGGAAAACUGUAGUCAAGAGAAGAUGAGAAUAUUGUCGGACAUGUUGGUUAAUGGGUUUCAGCAGCUCAUUGAACUUAUUUUGUGGCUUUCUUUGUUGAUAUUUCUUGUAGGAGGAUGGACAUUAAAUCAGGUCAUGGGCCUUGUGGUGGGUUUCUUGCUCUGGCUCGUUAUUAUGUCUGUUUUUUGCAGUUUAUUUAUUAUGGUUUACGACAUUAGAAUAAGCUUGAAAAAUAUUGAAAAAUCCGCCAGUCUCGGAAAGAAAGAAAAUAAUACAAAUUAAUUCACGCAACUGUCGGUUGUGGGCGGUUGAAGAAUUCCCUUUACUCAACCUUUUGACGCGGUAGGAGAGCGUUCCGUAAGCCAGUGAAGGCGGUUUGAAAGGGCCGCUGGAGGUAUCGGAAGUGAGAAUGCUGACAUGAGUAACGUUAAAACGGGUGAAAAACCCGUUCGCCGAAAGUCCCAGGUUUCCUGUGCAAUGUUAAUCAUCGCAGGGUUAGUCGAUUCCUAAGGCGAGGCCGAAAGGCGUAGUCGAUGGAAAACGGGUUAAUAUUCCCGUACCUUCGCAUGAUGCGAUGGGGUGACGGAGAGUGCUGCCUUGUCCGGGUGUUGGAAGUCCCGGUUCAAGCUGGUAGUUCAUUGAUGUUUCCAGGUAAAUCCGGAAACGGAGAAUGAGAAGCGACAACGACCGCUUUUUCGGAAGCGGGAAGCAAGUGACGCACGCUCCCAAGAAAAGCCUCUAAGCUUCAGUCAUGCGAGGAUCGUACCGCAAACCGACACUGGUGGACAGGAAGAAUAUUCCAAGGCGCUUGAGAGAACUCGGGUGAAGGAACUCGGCAAAAUGAUACCGUAACUUCGGGAGAAGGUAUGCCCCGACAAUGUGAAGUCCCUCGCGGACGGAGCAGUAAGGGGUCGAAGAGAAUUGGUGGCUGCGACUGUUUACUAAAAACACAGCACUCUGCAAACACGAAAGUGGAAGUAUAGGGUGUGACGCCUGCCCAAUGCCGGAAGGUUAAUUGACGGGGUUAGCCCUUAUGGGCGAAGCUCCUGAUCGAAGCCCCGGUCAAUGGCGGCCGUAACUAUAACGGUCCUAAGGUACCGAAAUUCCUUGUCGGGUAAGUUCCGACCUGCACGAAUGGCGUAACGACUGCUCCGGUGUCUCCAGCAUGGGCUCAGCGAAAUUGAAUUCUCCGUGAAGAUGCGGAGUACCCGCGGUUAGACGGAAAGACCCUAUGCACCUUUACUACAGCUUUGCGCUGACGCCAGAAUUUGUCUGUGUAGGAUAGGCGGGAGACUUUGAAGUUGCGGCGCCAGCCGUGAUGGAGUCGUCCUUGAAAUACCGCCCUGAUACAUUUUGGUGUCUAACCUUGUUCUGUUAUCCAGAAUGGGAACACCGCAUGGUGGGUAGUUUGACUGGGGCGGUCGCCUCCUAAAGAGUAACGGAGGCGCGCAAAGGUGGGCUCAGUUCGGUCGGAAACCGAACGCUGAGUGCAAUGGCAUAAGCCUGCUUGACUGUGAGAGCGACAGCUCGAACAGGGACGAAAGUCGGUCAUAGUGAUCCGGUGGUUCUGUGUGGAAGGGCCAUCGCUAAACGGAUAAAAGGUACGCUAGGGAUAACAGGCUAAUCUCCCCCAAGAGUUCUCAUCGACGGGGAGGUUUGGCACCUCGAUGUCGACUCAUCGCAUCCUGGGGCUGUAGCAGGUCCCAAGGGUAUGGCUGUUCGCCAUUUAAAGCGGUACGCGAGUUGGGUUCAGAACGUCGUGAGACAGUUUGGUCCCUAUCUGCCGUGGGUGUUUGAAACUUGAAAGGAGCUGUCCCUAGUACGAGAGGACCGGGAUGGACAUACCUCUGGUGUGCCGAUUGUGGUGCCAACCGCACCGUCGGGUAGCUAAGUAUGGAAACGAUAACCGCUGAAAGCAUCUAAGCGGGAAGCGUGCCUUGAAACGAGGUUUCUUCUGAGGGCCGUCGCAGACGACGACGUCAAUAGGCUCGGUGUGGAAGCGCAGCAAUGCGUGCAGCUAACGAGUACUAAUCGCCCAACGGCUUGUUUU